Halocaridina rubra (Hawaiian volcano shrimp) is the source of this 74-nucleotide non-coding RNA. The record is from the annotation of a GenBank genome assembly. Lineage: Eukaryota; Metazoa; Arthropoda; Malacostraca; Decapoda; Atyidae.
ACCCUGCUGUGGUGUAAUUGGUAGCGCAUUGGCUUAGUAAUUAUGAGUCCCAGGUUUAAGUCCUGGUAGGGAUA